AUGGGAACUGUUGACAUUUCUAGACUAAAUUACGCGGUGCUUACUCUCAUCCCUAAGAUCAAAGGUGCUAACUUGAUCUCCCAAUUUAGGCCCAUUGCUCUAAUUAGUAACUUCACGAAGAUUCUGGCUAAGGGUCUGGCCACUAGGAUUUCUCCGAUCGCUCACCGUGUCAUUAGUCCUUCCCAAUCCGCUUUUAUAAAGGGGAGAUUCAUACUAGAUGGGGUUCUUUGCUUGCAUGAGAUUGUUCAUGACUUGUAGACCAAGGGCACUCGGUCUGUAGUGCUUAAACUUGACUUUGAAAAGGCCUACGAUUCGGUGAGCUGGAAUUUCCUUCGACAGGUUCUU
This 345-nucleotide ribosomal RNA is filed under the name Triticum aestivum (bread wheat). Its description in RNAcentral is "partial small subunit ribosomal RNA". The record is from RNAcentral. Lineage: Eukaryota; Viridiplantae; Streptophyta; Magnoliopsida; Poales; Poaceae.